Molecule: long non-coding RNA, 6046 nt
Organism: Acinonyx jubatus (cheetah)
Lineage: Eukaryota; Metazoa; Chordata; Mammalia; Carnivora; Felidae
Exons: 4
Source: RefSeq, a predicted model, not a curated record
AAUGCUGCUAAACACUUAUAAAAAUACAAUGGCUAGGAGGACCCUCAUUUGGAAAGAAUGAUUCCAUAGAUCCAUAGACCAUAGAUUCACAGUCUAUGAUUUGAGGUCGUUUGUGAAUGAGAUUCAGAACGCGUGGCUCUCCUGGUCCUCUGCUCCCCUUCACCUCCGUGUUAGAUAUGGGUGCCUUAGGCGGGGCGGGGUGGGGGGUCUCCUGCUGGAGGGCUCAGGGCCCCACUCUUCUACGGGACAAAAGCCUUCAGGUCAACCUUGUGCCCCUGGGGAGAGGAGUGGUGCCCUCAGGGUGGCCUGGCCUGGGCAGGGAGGGUCUCCUUGUUGGGCUGGGGUGAACAGCAGGUGGAGGGACACAACCUGAGUCAUCCGUGGGACACGAUGCCCCCUUCUCCUGAUGUCCUCUUCCUCCAGCCAGGGGCUCAUCACUGGGGUAUCUGGGUUACCUUGGUUACAACAUGGGAAAAGGAAGUUUUGCGAAUGGCUUCUCCUUGGGUGCUUUCAGACUUAAGAAAUAGCUCCACCAUUUGUGGCCAGCUUUCUGCUGGUUUCCUUCUGUGAUGAUAGCAGCCACCAGUUCGCCUCAUGACAUGCCUACAUCAGCCAAGCAUUGUGUUAAGAGCUGAAAAUACAGCGGUUAUUCACGCUGGCUGUCCUGGGGGCAGGGGAGCUGACCGUUGAUUUGGGAGAAAGGCACAAGUGUGUGAGUCACCUCCAUGUAAUGAAGUGAGUACUCUUCUUGGAUUAUGACAGAAUCAUAGAGGAGAGCCGCCCACCCAGGGUGGGGCAUUCCUGAGAAGGUUCUGGAACAGAGAGGGAGGCUGAGCUGAAUCCUGAUGAAGAAAGGACUUAGCCAGGCUGGAGUGGGUUGUGAGAAGAUCCAAGGGACGGGGGCACCCAGCUUGGGUCGAGACUACAUUUCCAACAGUGGGAGUUCAGGGUCAGAAGGUAGAAUGACAACUACAGAAAACUUUCAAUACCAGGUUUUCCCUCCAAGGAAAUCAACGUCCAUUGGCGUUCCCCUCCGCAGAGCAUGAGAGUCUUUCUAUCCCCACCUGCCCCUCCACCCGUGUUAUUAAAACUCACUUCCUCCACCUGUGCCAACUCAGUGUUUUUUUUUUUUUUUUUUUUUUAAGGUGCACGUGAGAGCCUCUAACCGUCACUGUGAGUUGCAUUUUGGGAGAAACAAAUGGCACCAUGGGGGACGAUAGGGGAGCAGGUGUUGCAAAGGCAGUUCUGAGCCCGGAAAGGGCUGACCUGGCGGGAGGGCAGAGAAGAUUGAGCUGAGGAGUGAGCUGGCUGGCUUGUCAGUGAGCACCAAGCCCGGGGACAAGGCCCUUCUUCAUUUCUAGAACCCCCGCCCUGGCCAUGAGGAGCUGGAGGGCCUCCAGAGACCUGGAAGAAUUUGUGGGUGAGGUCCAGGGACAACUGGUAUAUGGUCUGGGCUGGUUUUUGUUCUUCUUUCAAGAGGCAAUCCUGUGGGUUCUUUGCUGACAGCAUCCGGGGCGGGGUUCCAGGAACAGCACGGAGCGGGGUGCAUGCUCUUGGGUGAGCAGAGUCCGCCUCUCCCUUGACUUUGCCUUGGGGUGACUGCAUGUGGCCUUGUGCUCCCAGAUGCAAGGCUGCAUGAUUCCCGAUUGGGGAAGAGAGGCAAAGGGCUGUUAGAGACACGCACCCAGCUGGAGCGAGCGCGGAGAAAAUCUGCCUCACCCUCAUUCAUACAUUCCCGGGCUUGCAAGGUCGGCACUGGGUGUCGGAUGGGCUGUGUUUCCUUUUGCAUUCACCCUUCCUUAGGGACCCUCUGGAAAGUCCCUGCUUCUCCCAUGCUGCCCCCAAGGGGAGCUGCUUCUCUCUGGUUGUUUUGCAUACAGCAGACACCAGGCCUUUCUCCAGACUAUUUAGUGUGUGUGUGUGUGUGUGUGUGUGUGUGUGUGUGUGUGUGUGUUUCCCCAAAAGAGAAAGAAAGAAAGAAAAUCGUUUGGUUUACAGUCUGUAGUUACUUGUCUCUGGGUUAGGAUCGCUGGAGGUUGCCCCCGCCUCGCGUCCAGCUUGACUUCCAAGUUUCUGAGGCCACAUUUAGCCCCUACUCCCCGCCCCUGAGCUCCUUCAAGGACUGUCAACUCCCUUGAAAUUGACACCCCAGAGAGUUGGAAUGGGAAUCCUCACUCCCUGUAAAUUUGGAGUUGUAUUUUGUUGCUGCAGCUUGCUCAUUUCCUGGUUAUUCUCAUGGAUAAUUCCUGGAUUAUCCAUGAAUUGGAUAUAUAUGUAUAGAUAUAUCUUCUUCUUCCCCCCCAAGGCCCUGUUUUUGUGUGUGUCAGGCAUCAUUUCCAGAGAGCCCACACUCCACCUAGAUUCUGUAUUGGUCUCUGCAUGCGGGGUUUAGGGCCGCUGUUACCCAAUUACCACAAACCAGGUGACUUAAAACAACAGAAAUGUAUUGUCUCACAGUUCUGUGAGUCAGAAGCCAGAAGCAGAGUUGGCUCCUUCUGGAGGCUCUGAGGGAGAAUCUGUUCUAUGUCCCUCUCCUCGCUUCUGGUCAUUGCUGGCAACCCGUGGCUUUCCUUGUCUUGUAGAUAUGUCACUCCAGCCUCUGCCUCUGUCUUCAUAUGGUGUUUUCCUCUCUGUAUGUGUCUUUGUGUGUCCUCUCCUUAUAAGGACAAAAGUCACUGGGUUUUAGGGCCCACCCCAAUCCAGUAGGAUCUCACCUUAACUAAUUACAUUUGCAAAGACCCUAUUUCCAAAUAAGGUCACAUUCUGAGGUUCUGGGUAGACAUGGAUUUUCAAAGGUCACCAGUAAACCCACCACAGUCUCUCCACCUUCCGACCCUUCCUUCCACCGAUCCGUCCCAUGCACCUUGCCAGAGCCAUUUUUCUCAAACCUCCUUAGCAGGAGCAACCAACUCUUAUGCCAAAAAUCUCCACUGACUUCCCGCUGCCAACAGAAUAAAGUCCUAUCUCUUUAGCUCAGCUUCAGAAGACUCACCAUAGUGUUGCUCCAGUGAUCUUUUUCACAUUCCUUUUCUCCACUCUCCUUCACACAUUCUCCAGCUGCAUCUGGAAGGUCUUCUGUGGCGUGGCACAUGCUGUAAAGGGCUCUUGUCUUCUGCUAGGGCCUCUGUCCCUUGCCUAGAUGCUCUCCUUUUCAAGCAUCCAUGUCAUGUCAUAGCCUUUUUUCUCUGAUGAGAACAUCCCUGGCCAGUCGAGAUCAAGGGCUCAGCGCUGACCACAGACCAACUUAGAUGCCACCCCCUUCCUUCCCCCAUCCUCAGUGAUGACCGAUGCUACUCUCUGCCAAGUGGAAUUUUUAUCCAAAGAUAAGCCUGUGUCUAAUACGUCUUUGGGUCUUUGGAUUGGAAAAUGAUGCAUUGAAUCUUGUGACUUCUUGGCAAAUGACUGUGGGUGCCGCUGCUGUGAGCACAUGAGGGGAAUGAUUUGAAUCUGAAGCAACCAGGAUGCUCAUGGGUCAGUGCAUGAACUCCAUGCCUAUAGCCCCACUAGGUCUGAAGCAGAUGAAGAUCCCCUGUGUGGAGAUGAAAUGAGGGGAAGGAGAGAAUGGCUGCUGUAUUGAGAGUCAAGGGCAGUGGUCUUUCAAAGGAAGAUGUAGGAGAAGUAGAUCCCUAAGGUUGGGUACUGAGGGGCACUGGGCUCAGUGGGAAGGGUUGUAGUGAUAUCCAGCAGGCCCCCUCCCCAUCCUCCCUGAUGGACGGUUGGUGAGCAAGAUGGCAGGUGGGGCAGGGCUAGGGAGGGAGGUAAAAUGGAGACCUAGGGUACAAUGAACAGAAUGGGUUCCAACACCUUUCACUUCCAGCUUUCACAGAUGCCCUGAACACUUGAAAGCAACAAGGAAGUUUUCAUUCCAAAGAGUGAUGCUGGCGUCUUUUUCUAGCCCCUCCCAAGUGGCACUGAUUGACCAUUGACAACUGGCUCUUCAAACUCUCUUCCAAAGCAUUGCAUCUCUGUGGAGACACAUGAGGAAUGUAGUUCAUCUGCAAGGAGCUUCUGAGCUGGACAGACUGGAAUAAGAGAACCCAGCAGAAAUGGAGGGAGAAGCAAGAGGUCCAGAGUCUGGGAAAAUGUCAUUGGAAAGUAGCUAGCAUGGAAAUGUGAGUUUCCCUCCCUCUACUAUUCUGAUAUUCUCAGGAGCUGGGAAGCUGGCAUAAAAAAUAGUCAAAGUUUUAAAGCUGCAAUGGACUAUAUUCUGUUUCUUUCAAAAUUCUUUUCACAUCCUCCCUGGCAGAGAGGCCUGCCUGCUUUCCUAUCAACACUGAAGAAUGUAUAGCAGCAUCUAUAUAUACAGCCUGAGGUGUGCUCCCAGAGCCUGAUGGUUGGAGCUGCCUCCCUGGCUCUUUCUUCCAAUUGAUGGAAUGGUGUCUGUAAAAAUGUUUUGAAAAUAUGAAAAGUGGCAAAUUGGCCUUCAUGACAAAUAGAACUUAAUGUAACAUAUUUUACAUGUUAAAUCUCCACGAACAAAAGCGAUCUCUAAUGUUUUCUUUCUCAGGGCAAAUUUCUUGGCAUUUACACACCUUCAGUGUUUUACUGUGAUCCUGGCUGGUGGCGGGGGGAGUUAUCAUAAUAAAUAAAACAGCUUUCACCUGUAUGGAGCUUAUGAUUUAUCUGAUAGCAACCCAUUGUGUCUCACCCCCGAGAGAGGUGGGGUGCAGGUGAUGGGGAAGAGGUCCUCAUGUUGCAGCCCCCAGAUGGAACCUGUUUGACUCCCUCCCCUAAUCCCCCAACUCCCUGCUCCUCCAAACCCUGGGCUGUUAAGUGCUCCUUUGAAGGAGAGGGAGUCAGAGGUAUAAGAAAUACCAGCUUCUGAGACUUUGAUGGCUGAGCCCAGUAUGGUCUGGGGUGUCUCUCCCUGAGUUAAUGGCAUGGGGACUCCCCAACAGCAGUUGACCCAACUGAUCCACUCCACUGUGGGAAAAGUAGGCUCUGCUUCUCCAGUGUCCCAAAUGGGGUGUGGGGUGGCAGUGGGCACAGGGGACAACUGUUGAGGCAACUUCGACCCUUCGACACCCAGGGUUGCAUUGGACAGAAGCUGAAAGGAGGAGAAUAGAAAUGCACAGUGUUUGUGUUUUGCACUCCCCCCCACCUUGAAACAGUGAAAUUGGGAGGGGGAGCAAGAAGGGACAGGGGACAGGCUUGUUUAUUUUAAUUUAAUUUUUUUAAGUUUAUUUUGAGAGAGAGAGAGAGAGAACAAUAGGGAGAGGGGCAGAGGGAGAGGGAGAGAGAGAGAAUCCCAAGCAGGCUCCUCACUUUCAGCCCAAAGCCUGACUCGAGGCUUGAUUUUAUGAACCGUGAGAUCACAACCUGAGCCAAUAUCAAGAGUUAGAUGCGUAACCAACUGAGCCACCCAGGUGCCCCCAGGCUUGUUCAUUUUAAGGAGAGUAGAGUGGAAUCAGAAAAGAUAGUCUCAUCCAGAUGGUAGUAAAUACGGUACUGUUUUUGAGUGCCUAUUGUCUUCCUGGGACUGGCUACCUGGUACUCAUCCUGGGUGUGGAUUUCUCAAGUUGCCAACCAUGGCACACGUGAAAUACUUCCUACAACUUGAUUUCUACCCAGAGUUGUCAUUUCAUCUGGCAGUAGAAAUUUAAUGAUUAAUUCGCCAUAGUUCAGCCACUCUGGGUUUUCUGAGCAUGCUUGGAAUGUAACAGCUUAAUUCUUUCAAAGCUCAUCCAUCACCCUUAUGCCUCCCUCCCCUGGGAUUUUCACCCAAGAUCUGAGAGCCUUAAUGGUCACUGGGGGUGGGGUGGUGGGGUAAUGACCAAGGGGAGGGGAGUGGUGGUCUUGGGAGCCAUUCCCUGUGGAGUACCUGUGGGCCUUCUCCCUGACACUUCUGGCUGUGACCCUCUUGGUCUGUCUGCCAUCCCAAGCCAGCUCUAAAAUGAAUGCACUCGUGGUGGGGGCAGUUUCUGGUGCCUUGAGCUUUUUCUUAUUCUUCAGUGCUCCUUUAAAAGUAAUGUUAUUUUUUUUUUUAAUAACUAGAAGUUUGUACUUCUUAACCCUAUUUUGCCCAUCCCUCCCACCCCGGCAACCA